UCCUGGUUAGCUCAAUUGGUAAAGCGCUUCACUGGAAAUGGAGAGGCCCCUAGUUCAAUACCAGGACUAGGAU
Molecule: transfer RNA, 73 nt
Filed under: Ixodes scapularis (black-legged tick)
Lineage: Eukaryota; Metazoa; Arthropoda; Arachnida; Ixodida; Ixodidae
Rfam family: tRNA
About the family: Transfer RNA (tRNA) molecules are approximately 80 nucleotides in length.
Source: Rfam by way of RNAcentral